AUUGAACGCUGGCGGCAUGCUUUACACAUGCAAGUCGAACGGUAACAGGCCGCAAGGUGCUGACGAGUGGCGAACGGGUGAGUAAUGCAUCGGAACGUGCCCAGAGGUGGGGGAUAACGCAGCGAAAGCUGUGCUAAUACCGCAUAUUAUCUGAGGAUGAAAGCGGGGGACUAAGCAGCAAUGUUGGCCUCGCGCCUUUGGAGCGGCCGAUGUCAGAUUAGGUAGUUGGUGGGGUAAAGGCCUACCAAGCCGACGAUCUGUAGCUGGUCUGAGAGGACGACCAGCCACACUGGGACUGAGACACGGCCCAGACUCCUACGGGAGGCAGCAGUGGGAAUUUUGGACAAUGGGCGCAAGCCUGAUCCAGCAAUGCCGCGUGCAGGAAGAAGGCCUUCGGGUUGUAAACUGUCUUUGUACGGAACGAAAGGCUCUGGUUAAUACCUGGGGCUCAUGACGGUACCGUAAGAAUAAGCACCGGCUAACUACGUG
RNAcentral lists this ribosomal RNA (489 nucleotides) under uncultured bacterium. Its description in RNAcentral is "bacterial SSU rRNA". It matches the Rfam family "Bacterial small subunit ribosomal RNA", at positions 30 to 507 of the family's 1533-position model. The record is from RNAcentral.